GGAGAGCUGUUGCAGACUGUAAGCAGAGCUGAGGCCUGAUUGAACGUGUGUUGUAAAAAGAGCCUUCUGGUCACAAGGUGGGGCACAGAAAGAAGGGGAUGAGAAGAGAUGCAGAGGGACAAAGCCAGUCCUUGGGUGAAAUGUUCCUCUGAUCACUGCCCCCGUGAAGAAGUUGUGGGGACCAUGACAGAGGGCACCAUAUGAUUCUUACUGCAAAAUUUAACCUCUUAACCUGCAAGUUUUGAAACUUUGGUGUAUUUUAAGAUGCAUUUACCUGCACCUGGGUUUAUGUUUAUUCUGUCUCCACAUUUGAUCAAUUGUGUACCAGCUAUAAAUGCUUUAGAGAUCAUUUCCUUAAGGAAAGCUGGCUCCAUUAUCUCCCAGCAUCUACCAUUGCUCUUAAUAAGUUUGAAGGCAUUCUCACCCUAGUUUUCCCUUCUGGAAACUUGUACCAUCUUCUCUUUAUUCUCGCAUUCUGAAAUUGACAGUGAUGUGUCAUGAUCUGAAUCUAUUUACUUUCCUUGGCCAGUGCAAGAUAAAUAACAAGAUGGGGUGAGAUCAUUGAGGAAAAGUGUGCUCACAGCUAUGAAGAGACUUUCAGACUCCUGCCUCCUUCCUCCUUCUCC
RNAcentral lists this long non-coding RNA (626 nucleotides) under Heterocephalus glaber (naked mole-rat). RNAcentral describes it as "lncRNA (ENSHGLG00000032098.1)". Lineage: Eukaryota; Metazoa; Chordata; Mammalia; Rodentia; Bathyergidae. The record is from RNAcentral.